GCGAUACCCGAAUGGGGAAACCCAGUGUGAUUCGUCACACUAUCAUUAACUGAAUCCAUAGGUUAAUGAGGCGAACCGGGGGAACUGAAACAUCUAAGUACCCCGAGGAAAAGAAAUCAACCGAGAUUCCCCCAGUAGCGGCGAGCGAACGGGGAGGAGCCCAGAGCCUGAAUCAGCAUGUGUGUUAGUGGAAGCGUCUGGAAAGGCGCGCGAUACAGGGUGACAGCCCCGUACACAAAAGCGCAUGUGCUGUGAGCUCGAUGAGUAGGGCGGGACACGUGGUAUCCUGUCUGAAUAUGGGGGGACCAUCCUCCAAGGCUAAAUACUCCUGACUGACCGAUAGUGAACCAGUACCGUGAGGGAAAGGCGAAAAGAACCCCGGCGAGGGGAGUGAAAAAGAACCUGAAACCGUGU
This 414-nucleotide ribosomal RNA is filed under the name Salmonella enterica. Its description in RNAcentral is "partial 23S ribosomal RNA". It matches the Rfam family "Bacterial large subunit ribosomal RNA", at positions 107 to 561 of the family's 2925-position model. The record is from RNAcentral. Lineage: Bacteria; Pseudomonadati; Pseudomonadota; Gammaproteobacteria; Enterobacterales; Enterobacteriaceae. RNAcentral also lists the same sequence under 1 other name.